GCCACGACCGUCGCAUGUCCGUUCGUCACCGUAAACUCCGUCACCUGAAGCCUCCGAUCUGCAACAAGUUGCGGUUCGACGACUUUGACAGCCUCCGCACAACCACCGGUCGCCGCAUACAUCCACCAUGAACCGGCUUUAAUUUGGAACCAUCAUACCCCGCUUUUCUGCCACCGCGAACUAGCUCGUCGUCGUCGCGAACCAGAUUCAGCCACCUCACGUGUUCGUGUAUCACCGCUCUUGUCUCAGCUCUAAUUUGCUUGGGUUCAACAACUAAGGUUCUUGAUUUUCGAGAUCGACUUGACUAAUUGGUCUUGCUUUGCUUGCUAAUAAGUCCGUUACUUUGUAGUACGGAUGCUUUCGCUAGUAACAAAAUAUGAAAGCCAAAUAGAAGCCAGCUGGACAGCACUGAAGUCUUGGAAAAGUGGCAAUAAAGUUACCUAA
RNAcentral lists this long non-coding RNA (444 nucleotides) under Helianthus annuus (common sunflower). The record is from RNAcentral. Lineage: Eukaryota; Viridiplantae; Streptophyta; Magnoliopsida; Asterales; Asteraceae.